GAUGAACGCUGGCGGCGUGCCUAAUACAUGCCAGUCGAGCGAACAGACGAGGAGCUUGCUCCUCUGACGUUAGCGGCGGACGGGUGAGUAACACGUGGAUACCCUACCUAUAAGACUGGGAUAACUUCGGGAAACCGGAGCUAAUACCGGAUAAUAUAGUGAACCGCAUGGUUCAAUAGUGAAAGACGGUUUUGCUGUCACUUAUAGAUGGAUCCGCGCCGCAUUAGCUAGUUGGUAAGGUAACGGCUUACCAAGGCGACGAUGCGUAGCCGACCUGAGAGGGUGAUCGGCCACACUGGAACUGAGACACGGUCCAGACUCCUACGGGAGGCAGCAGUAGGGAAUCUUCCGCAAUGGGCGAAAGCCUGACGGAGCAACGCCGCGUGAGUGAUGAAGGUCUUCGGAUCGUAAAACUCUGUUAUUAGGGAAGAACAAAUGUGUAAGUAACUAUGCACGUCUUGACGGUACCUAAUCAGAAAGCCACGGCUAACUACGUG
RNAcentral lists this ribosomal RNA (497 nucleotides) under uncultured bacterium. Its description in RNAcentral is "partial 16S ribosomal RNA". It matches the Rfam family "Bacterial small subunit ribosomal RNA", at positions 28 to 507 of the family's 1533-position model. The record is from RNAcentral.